CAGCCGCCGCGGGAAUACGUAGGGUGCGAGCGUUAAUCGGAAUUACUGGGCGUAAAGGACGCGUAGGCGGAUUAUCAAGUCUCUUGUGAAAUCUAACGGCUUAACCGUUAAACUGCUUGGGAAACUGAUAAUCUAGAGUAAGGGAGAGGCAGAUGGAAUUCUUGGUGCAGGGGUAAAAUCCGUAGAUAUCAAGAAGAAUACCUAUUGCGAAGGCGAUCUGCUGGAACUUAACUGACGCUAAUGCGUGAAAGCGUGGGGAGCAAACAGGAUUAGAUACCCCUGUAGUCCCUGUCUCUUAUAA
This 301-nucleotide ribosomal RNA is filed under the name uncultured bacterium. Its description in RNAcentral is "partial 16S ribosomal RNA". It matches the Rfam family "Bacterial small subunit ribosomal RNA", at positions 509 to 809 of the family's 1533-position model. The record is from RNAcentral.